Pygocentrus nattereri (red-bellied piranha) is the source of this 435-nucleotide long non-coding RNA. RefSeq lists it as uncharacterized. Lineage: Eukaryota; Metazoa; Chordata; Actinopteri; Characiformes; Serrasalmidae. The record is from RefSeq and is a predicted model, not a curated record. The transcript is spliced from 2 exons.
AAAGAGAGAAGCAUCGCUCGGUUCCUCAGUGCAACUACGGUGGCAGACUGCAAGAAGAAGCUUUAGAAAAGUUCCAGAUGAUCUAGACAGUGAUGUUGCUGGCUUCGUUGGCUCUGUGCUACCAAACUCAAGGGCAAAUGAACUGGUAUUGAAGGCCGUCCAGACAUUGAGCGUGGAAACCCUGAAAGUCCUGAAUUACGUCCAGGGGGCAGAUCUGGUCAAUGUCCUUAGGCCAGUUGAAGCUAGAAAACUGGAGACCUAUAGCCACACCCAGAGGAACAAUGAGCUCUCUAGCCACACCCAGAGGAACAAUGAGCCUUAUAGCCACGCCCAGAGGAAUGAUAAAAAGUGUCAUGCAGAGACUAUUCAUCUUCCAGUAUGUGUGAGAAAAUGUCUUUGAGCAAUUGAAAAUAAAAUGUGCAUAUUUUCUAAUUA